Molecule: ribosomal RNA, 234 nt
Filed under: uncultured bacterium
Lineage: Bacteria
Description: partial 16S ribosomal RNA
Rfam family: Bacterial small subunit ribosomal RNA
Source: RNAcentral
GACGAACGCUGGCGGCGUGCUUAACACAUGCAAGUCGAGCGGUAAGGCCCUUUCGGGGGUACGACGAGCGGCGAACGGGUGAGUAACACGUGGGUGACCUGCCCUCAGCUCUGGGAUAAGCCUGGGAAACCGGGGUACUAAUACUGGAUAUGACUCCAUGACGCAUGUUGUGGGGUGGAAAGCCUUGUGCGGCUGAGGAUGGGCCCGCGGCCUAUCAGCUUGUUGGUGGGGUGA